RNAcentral lists this ribosomal RNA (467 nucleotides) under uncultured Sphingobacteriales bacterium. Its description in RNAcentral is "bacterial SSU rRNA". It matches the Rfam family "Bacterial small subunit ribosomal RNA", at positions 916 to 1381 of the family's 1533-position model. The record is from RNAcentral. Lineage: Bacteria; Pseudomonadati; Bacteroidota; Sphingobacteriia; Sphingobacteriales.
ACGGGGCCCGGCGACAAGCGGUGGAGCAUGUGGUUUAAUUCGAUGAUACGCGAGGAACCUUACCUGGGCUCAAAUGUAUGUUGACGUAUUCUGAAAGGGAUACUUCUUCGGACAAUAUACAAGGUGCUGCAUGGUUGUCGUCAGCUCGUGCCGUGAGGUGUCGGGUUAAGUCCCAUAACGAGCGCAACCCUAUCAUUAGUUGCCAUCAGGUCAAGCUGGGGACUCUAAUGAAACUGCCUACGCAAGUAGUGAGGAAGGUGGGGACGACGUCAAAUCAGCACGGCCCUUACGUCCAGGGCUACACACGUGCUACAAUGGCCGGUACAAAGGGCAGCUACCUGGUGACAGGAUGCAAAUCUCCAAAGUCGGUCUCAGUUCGGAUCGGAGUCUGCAACCCGACUCCGUGAAGUUGGAUUCGCUAGUAAUCGCGCAUCAGCCAUGGCGCGGUGAAUACGUUCCCGGGCCUU